Molecule: ribosomal RNA, 482 nt
Filed under: uncultured bacterium
Lineage: Bacteria
Description: partial 16S ribosomal RNA
Rfam family: Bacterial small subunit ribosomal RNA
Source: RNAcentral
GACGAACGCUGGCGGCGUGCCUAACACAUGCAAGUCGAACGGAACUGUUUUGAAAGAUUUCUUCGGAAUGAAUUUGAUUUAGUUUAGUGGCGGACGGGUGAGUAACGCGUGAGUAACCUGCCUUCAAGAGGGGAAUAACAUUCUGAAAAGAAUGCUAAUACCGCAUGACAUAUCGGAACCACAUGGUUUUGAUAUCAAAGAUUUUAUCGCUUGAAGAUGGACUCGCGUCCGAUUAGUUAGUUGGUGAGGUAACGGCUCACCAAGACCGCGAUCGGUAGCCGGACAGAGAGGUUGAGCGGCCACAUUGGGACUGAGACACGGCCCAGACUCCUACGGGAGGCAGCAGUGGGGGAUAUUGCGCAAUGGGGGCAACCCUGACGCAGCAACGCCGCGUGAAGGAUGAAGGUUUUCGGAGUGUAAACUUCUUUUAUUAAGGACGAAAAAUGACGGUACUUAAUGAAUAAGCUCCGGCUAACUACGUG